AAAAGGUGGCUAUACUACCGCUUUUGGAUGGGCCCGCGGCGCAUUAGCUAGUUGGUAGGGUAAAGGCUUACCAAGGCAAUGAUGCGUAGCCGAACUGAGAGGUUGAUCGGCCACAUUGGGACUGAGACACGGCCCAAACUCCUACGGGAGGCAGCAGUAGGGAAUCUUCCACAAUGGGCGAAAGCCUGAUGGAGCAACGCCGCGUGGGUGAAGAAGGUCUUCGGAUCGUAAAACCCUGUUGUUAGAGAAGAAAGUGCGUGAGAGUAACUGUUCACGUUUCGACGGUAUCUAACCAGAAAGCCACGGCUAACUACGUGCCAGCAGCCGCGGUAAUACGUAGGUGGCAAGCGUUAUCCGGAUUUAUUGGGCGUAAAGGGAACGCAGGCGGUCUUUUAAGUCUGGUGUGAAAGCCUUCGGCUUAACCGGAGUAGUGCAUUGGAAACUGGGAGACUUGAGUGCAGAAGAGGAGAGUGGAACUCCAUGUGUAGCGGUGAAAUGCGUAGAUAUAUGGAAGAACACCAGUGGCGAAAGCGGCUCUCUGGUCUGUAACUGACGCUGAGGUUCGAAAGCGUGGGUAGCAAACAGGAUUAGAUACCCUGGUAGUCCACGCCGUAAACGAUGAAUGCUAAGUGUUGGAGGGUUUCCGCCCUUCA
This 653-nucleotide ribosomal RNA is filed under the name uncultured bacterium. RNAcentral describes it as "bacterial SSU rRNA". It matches the Rfam family "Bacterial small subunit ribosomal RNA", at positions 202 to 842 of the family's 1533-position model. The record is from RNAcentral.